UGGGGAAUUUUGGACAAUGGGCGAAAGCCUGAUCCAGCAAUGCCGCGUGUGUGAAGAAGGCCUUCGGGUUGUAAAGCACUUUUGUCCGGAAAGAAAUCCUUGGCUCUAAUACAGUCGGGGGAUGACGGUACCGGAAGAAUAAGCACCGGCUAACUACGUGCCAGCAGCCGCGGUAAUACGUAGGGUGCAAGCGUUAAUCGGAAUUACUGGGCGUAAAGCGUGCGCAGGCGGUUUGCUAAGACCGAUGUGAAAUCCCCGGGCUCAACCUGGGAACUGCAUUGGUGACUGGCAGGCUAGAGUAUGGCAGAGGGGGGUAGAAUUCCACGUGUAGCAGUGAAAUGCGUAGAGAUGUGGAGGAAUACCGAUGGCGAAGGCAGCCCCCUGGGCCAAUACUGACGCUCAUGCACGAAAGCGUGGGGAGCAAACAGGAUUAGAUACCCUGGUAGUCCACGCCCUAAACGAUGUCAACUAGUUGUUGGGGAUUCAUUUCCUUAGUAACGUAGCUAACGCGUGAAGUUGACCGCCUGGGGAGUACGGUCGCAAGAUUAAAACUCAAAGGAAUUGACGGGGUCAUAA
This 576-nucleotide ribosomal RNA is filed under the name uncultured bacterium. RNAcentral describes it as "partial 16S ribosomal RNA". It matches the Rfam family "Bacterial small subunit ribosomal RNA", at positions 355 to 924 of the family's 1533-position model. The record is from RNAcentral.